Siniperca chuatsi (mandarin fish) is the source of this 1588-nucleotide long non-coding RNA. RefSeq lists it as uncharacterized. The transcript is spliced from 3 exons. The record is from RefSeq and is a predicted model, not a curated record. NCBI's taxonomy places the organism in Eukaryota, Metazoa, Chordata, Actinopteri, Centrarchiformes, Sinipercidae.
UCCUCGCUACCAACAUGCCAUGGCAUGUUUUAUUCACAAUAAAGUCAGACAGAUCUCCCCUCACCACUGCCCAGAUCUGCGAGCCACCCGCCGGCCUCAAAGACAUCAGCAUCAGCUUAGUGUGUCUGCUCUCUCAGUCUCCUUGACCUGCACAUCCCUGCAGAGGAGAGCGACCCCAGUUUUUAAUGGAAGUACAGAGCUGGAGUCAAAGAACACCAAUGUUUACCUGAAACAAAUGUUUACCUAGACCGUUGUCCUGAAGGUGAGACGUUCUCCAAACCAAACUGUUAUUGAAAUCAAGAAACAGACAGAAGGUGCCAGAAGCUUCAUGAUGCAGGUGGAUAAGAUCACACCUUCACCCUUUUUAUUAGAGGCACUCACUGAUCCGUGGGCUCCGCUCCCCUCUUGGGGGAAGAUGUUUGUCAAAGACAGAUCCCCUCAAGAGCUCUGCUGGAUUUAGGGGUUUCCUCUGCUGUUCAUGGGGCACAUUUCCCAGAAUUACACUCAUUCAUGAUGAGUGAAAGCAUCCAGAGGAAAAAAGAUGUGCCUCUCGCCUCCAUUCAGCAGCCCAGGCCCCUAAUCUCUGCAGGGACAGCGCACAAUGAGAAAGGAGGGCCAGCACUCACAUCAAGAACCGGACUCUGUAAUAAAGGGACGAUGACAAUAGAUAACAUUUCGUGGUAUAUCAUGGACUGCCUCAUCUGUGUGUGCAGCUAGAAACUUUUAAAACACUUCAAAUACCUCAGAUGCUUUUUGCCCACAUUCCUUUGUCACACAGCGGUAAUUGCUGUGUCAUUAUAAUGACCACAUGUGUCACUGUUUGCAGAUUUAUGAGUCUAGUUUUCAGCACAAACUAUACUAAUGACAGCAUACAAUCGUAUAUGUUUUGCCAGUAAGUGAUGCUAUUUACACAAUAUUGUAGCACAUAAAGAUCAGAAAUUUCAUAAUAAUUUCCUACAGAGUUUCCUGGAAAGAACUAUGUAAUUUGGUACUAAUUAUUGGAAAAAUAGGGUUUUCUUUGAAAGAUUAACUCCACACAAGUUAAUAUUCAUUCUUUAUUUAUUAUUGUAAACUUUAUUCUUCAUUUGUGUUGCAUUGCAUGCACACCUGUAUACAAAUUUCACAUUUUUCAGCAGCUGACCUGCUGUGCACUAAUUAGAAGACUUUUUUGGUUAUACUAGCAAUUACUGUGGUUGGAAUUAAAUAAUUGGAAGUUGACUAAUUGGACACUGUCUCUAUUUUCCUUGUAAUUAUUACCAAUUUACAUAGCUUGUUUCCACGAAACUUUGAGGAAAUUAUUAGGAACUUACAACUCAUUAAAUACAUUAAAUAAACAUUUUUUUCCAUUUAAUCAUUCAGUUUAUCAGAAGUCAUAUAUAUUAUGUUAUUCAAAAAACGCAAAUCUUGCGCACUAUAUAGAGAUUAAAUAAUAUUGAUAAAUGAUCUGUACAGAUGUGUAAAAUGUAUAUUCAUAAUGAAUUGCUUGCUGUUGCAGUCUUAGUAGUUCUGUACAUCAAUUGGUUAUCAUCAACAACAGUUCUACAUACCUGGAUGUUUUGAUUUUAAUAUAAAUAUAUGCUUUGCACUA